CUCACCGUUGCUGGUAGAUGGCAUCUCUGCUGGGACAGAGAGGCAACUCACACUCUGGCCAGACUCGGCAGCACAGGUCAAAGAGAGAGAGAGAAAAAAAUCAGCGUUAAUUUGAUCAAUUGAUCAGAUAAUCGAUUGAGAAACUGGAGAUGCCCGCUUACUGGGGGCAGUAACGUCCUGGAACAUGAAACCACAAAAAAGGAGCCAUUGAUUUCCUCACCUGCUGCUCCCAACAAAACCAGAGCCCAGGGAGAAAGGAGUCCUGGGGCCUCUGGAGGCCUGUGCUCUCCAAAGGUGUGGUUUGGGGGUGGUGGUGCACAGCAGCAGCUUCCGGAGAGUUUUACACUGGAAUUAGUUACAGAUGCAGUUACGGUGUCUUGUGUAAACGCCAUCGAUUGGGGAGCUGACAGUCUGGGGAGCUGCGAUGCGGGACAAUCAAUCGGCCUGCAGUGUCACCUGCCACCUCGCUGAACAGUUGACAAUGCAAUUAUCCAGUGUGGAGGCAGGGAGUUGGCGUGUGUCAAACGCACUUAGCCACUUUCCGGGCCUCCUCGAUAACGUGUUUCACUGCCUCGCGUCAGGAGAGACGCAGAGAGACAGACGCCGUUUAAAACCAUUGAUACUUACUCCUUCUGCCUGUACUCCCCCUGUCCUGGCUUAACAACUGUGUUCCCAAAGGCGAUUAAAUCCCGUCAGUCGCCACAGGGGACAAGAAGGUGCCCUGCUCCUUGCCACCUCUCCUCGCCCCUCCCAGCAGGCAACAGUUAUAACUAAAGGUGGUAAGGAGGUAGAAGGGGGCAGCCCUAACGCUCUCCAUUCCAACACUGCCUGCAGCAGUCGACUGUUCCAACACCUGUCACUGACUGCACCUGGCAGCAGGGCUGCGCUGGGGGACAUUUUUAGCAUCUGGGGCUCCCAACUUUUGGAAACCAACACGGCAAAGGAGGCAGCAGCUAUGGCCAGGCCAAUUUCUCCAUGCCCCUGGGCUCAGAACACCUCUCAACCCCUUGACCCAUAAUCUGGAGCUGAAGUUUUAUCAAGCAACAGCCAGUUAAAAGACCAGUGCCACAGCUGCCCUGCCUGUCCUCUCCAUGGCAUCUCAUCCCAGGCCACGUGGAACCAGCCUAAAUCUAAGGCAAGAACUCGAGAAAGGUGCAGUCCCGAGGCCAGGAUUGGGGCAGGGCAGAGGCCCUGGACAGUGGGUUCUCUUAGUAUCAUCCCUGUCCAACACCUGUUUGAUUCAAAGGGGAUCAGUGCUGGAUUCCAGGGAUGCAUUUCCCUCCAGGGCUCAAAGAUGGAGUUGCAGCACCUUCCACUUCCUGUGCCGCCUCCUGGGAAAUCCCUCCAUCUCGCCACUCAUGUGCCCACCACAUGACUGUGAGCUUAUCUGAAGCCAACCAUUCCAUAUUCUCUCUCCAGCCUGUCCAUUCCAGAUAUGAUGAACUCCAGGCUCCCCCAAUCCAGCUGGGUGAACUUUCACUGGCAACCAAAACAGGAGGGACCAAAGCUCCCACCACAAGUCUCUUCUCCGGGACCCAGGAUCUGGUGACAGGCAAUGAGGAGAGCUGGGGCUCAUUCAUCACAUACCUCCUUUGACUACAGGCAGGAGCGGGUUUGUCCCCAAGGGCUGUAUAAUUAGGUUUCUGCUGUGGCCCAGCCUAGAGGUCCCUUGCUCUGCCCAGGGCUGGCAUAGGGCACCAGAAGAGCGUCUUUCUUCCCUAACUGUUGAGCUCUUUCAGGGGAAUGCUGGUGAAGUACUAGGGUCCAUGUGCUGCCCUUUAUGCAAUUAUUAACUCUCGGUGGGGAGAAACAGCACUAGCAGGUUAGCAAACCUAAGGUUCAGAGAGGACAAUCAACAGCUUAGGCACGCAGCCCAGGGUGUCUCCGAGAACUGAGAAGGCCAGAGCGUUUCCUAGUCACUGAAAGUUUCCUCCAAACUAUUCUCUUGAAAACUUUAUCUCUUCCUUCGGACUCUUAAAGAUCCACUUCCAGCUGGACCUAUCUCAGUGCUUACCUGUUCUGUCUGGUCCUUCGUUUUGUCCUAAAAUAAUUCCAAGUACUCCCAGGCCUAAGCAAUCUGGGCCUCACCCUCAGUAACCACAGGCCCCAUCUCCAAGGCCCAUUCCCCUCAGCCAAGUGUCCCACCAAAAACUCUUGCUUGUUCACUGGUUCCACGGCAGAAUACAUUCAAGGAAACCGAUUUGCUCCACCACACCAGCUCCCAGUGGGCCUGGUGGGAAGCUUUGCUGAGGAUGAUGAAGGGGUCCUGGUCUGGGAGGAGGGAUAGGGGGUGAUCAGAUACGGGAACUUAUCUGCAAUUCUUUCAUAUCUAACAAGGACAGCAAUCUCUGUUCUGUCAGCAGGCACAGCUCGGCUUAAAUGGGCCUCACCACUCGCCUGCUCAUCCUGCCUCUGCUCCCUCUCUCUGAAGUCGGCUGGGCAGCUUCUUCAGCCAGCGUUAUCACUCCCUCUAACCGGUCUUGGCAGGCAAUCUAAUUCCUCCUGAAAAGGUCACCGCCAUUUUAACUGCCUUUCAAUCACAUUAAGCACGCGCUGCCCGGCUUGCGGCCCAGCCCGCCCGGCGGGCGAUCAAUGCGCUACACUGACACCAGCCCGCCUGGCGGGGCCACACCCAACCCCCCAAGAGUUGGGGCCUAUCGGUCCUGGCCAAGGAGGGUAGACUGACAGAUGGCCAGCUCCUGCAGACAGGGUUUCGGGGGCAGAGGCGGUCAGGAUCAGACAGGGCCUCCUUUGAUAGCACCCCCCACCGAGGAGCCUCAGCCUCCUCCGCUCCACUGCGCCCUGCUCUCUGCCUCGUGGCCCCUGCUGAUCUCGCUGUAAAACAGCCUUUCAAGUCUGCCUGUCUUUUGACUGCACUAAGCUGUUUAAGAGGCGGCAGCAACUUCUGUCAGGAAAGCCGGAGCAAUUCUCUGCAGAUAAAGGCACCUCCGGCCCCCGUUCCCUCUUCAAGUCUCACUCUCAUUCUCGCUCUCCAAAUCGCUCAAAGAAAAGCCCCCUUUGAACUCCUCUCAGGAAUUCUUGAAAAGAACAACCUCACAGUGUAAACACUCAGGGAAAACUGACACCCGCCCAUAGGGCUGAAGAGCCCCUCACACCCGCUCUGCAAGUGCGUCCCAGCGCCUGGGAAAUACUUGGUUGUAGCAGCAGGCCCCAUGCAGCUUCAUCCCCCUAAGCCCUGUCUGGUGCCCAGAAGCCACCAGGUCCAGUUCUGUGCCAAGAAACCUGAAAACUUGCCGCGGUAAUGGAAGAUAUGAAAAUCUGCAGCCACCCAACAGAGCGAACCCAGAGCGGCAUCCUGGAACUGCCCCUCAACAGACACCUGUGUGUACAAGUCACUGGACCCUGGGCUUUGCUGCUCAUCCUCACUGGGCCUCAGACACUCGGAAACUCCAGGAUAGGACCAGAGUGAAAUGGCAAACGGACAUCCUCCCAGCUCAGCGCUCAGGCUAGGGAAACGGUUUGGCCUGAUUAACCUGCCUGAUUUACACUUUGGCUUGUCCCCAAACGCUUGGGCAAUAUGAGAGAAGCCCAGAAGCAUAACGCCACACCUGGGCUCGUGGCCCCUCAUGUAGCCAGUCUGCCCUGGAUGGCACUGUGGGGACUGCUCCUCAGCACCAGCCCGAGAAGCACUGCCCCAGUGAGGCAGAGACCCUCCUCCCAGCUGCUGUGAGAUUCCCCAGGGACCAGACACAGCAAUACUCCCAAGGGUGUUGCCCAGAGAACUGGAGGCAGAUGGGAAGCAGACUGGCUCACUUAAUCACCACAAGCUGCAGUGCCAGCUGUGCCUGUGCACAGAAAGAAGAGCUGGAGGCUGGGAGGCUGACAGCUCCCCCUUUGCCCUGCCCAAGGCAGAAGGCUUUGACAAGAGGACACCGACCCUGGGCACCUACCAGUCUGCUGUUUGACCUGGUGGGGGUGGGGGACUUCCACUGGGCCAAGCUAUCUCUCUCCAAGGAGCCAAGUGCUAACGUGGCUUGGCUGUCACCUUCAAUGCAUCACCCGAGGCUGAGAGACCCCCUCGUCACUCCUAGCUUGCAGCCUCACAGUUCCAUUUCCCCACCCAAAUACAUCCAUUUUAAUAUGCACAUCACAGGCAGGCAGCAUGGUCACAAAGGAGCCCCACCAGCAGCAGCUCGCACGUGGUGGAAUGACCAGCCAUUAGCCCUGGCCUCUUGGCUCCCAACAGAUGGAUACCCAGCAGAGGCCUGGCCAACAGAGUGCCACUGCCUAUGUGUCAGCU
Physeter macrocephalus (sperm whale) is the source of this 4261-nucleotide long non-coding RNA. RefSeq lists it as uncharacterized. NCBI's taxonomy places the organism in Eukaryota, Metazoa, Chordata, Mammalia, Artiodactyla, Physeteridae. The transcript has 3 exons. The record is from RefSeq and is a predicted model, not a curated record.